ACUCAAAGGAAUAGACGGGGGCCCGCACAAGCAGCGGAGCGUGUGGUUUAAUUCGAUGCAACGCGCAGAACCUUACCAGGGCUUGACAUGCAGCUUACAGCGGGCGAAAGCCCGCGGCCGCGAGGCGUGCUGCACAGGUGCUGCAUGGCUGUCGUCAGCUCGUGCCGUGAGGUGUUGGGUUAAGUCCCGCAACGAGCGCAACCCCCGCGUCUAGUUAGGUUCCUAGACGGACGGCCGGGACCAACCCGGAGGAAGGUGGGGACGACGUCAAGUCAGCACGGCCCUUACGCCCUGGGCUACACACACGCUACAAUGGCCGGUACAGCGGGCGGUGCGAAGCCGCGAGGCGGAGCGAAUCCCUGCAAAGCCGGCCCCAGUUCAGAUCGGGGGCUGCAACUCGCCCCCGUGAAGGCGGAGUUGCUAGUAACCGCGGGUCAGCACACCGCGGUGAAUACGUUCCCGGGCCUUGUACACACCGCCCGU
RNAcentral lists this ribosomal RNA (483 nucleotides) under uncultured bacterium. RNAcentral's name for it is "partial 16S ribosomal RNA". It matches the Rfam family "Bacterial small subunit ribosomal RNA", at positions 899 to 1397 of the family's 1533-position model. The record is from RNAcentral.